UCUGGCUUCGUGCGUUGCAUCUGAACUGCUGCACGGUGAGCUGCACGAGAUAGAUUUCGAGUUGCAUCAUGCGGUGUGGAUGGGAGGUCGGAGAGGGGCUGACGGUGUUGUUGGGCGGGGAGGUGCGCUGAUGCUCUGUAUUCGAGCCUAUCAUCUAAAGCACAGAGGUUCGUUAAAAAUGUGAAGCAGCAGGGGAGUUCAUGUCGUCCAGCUCAACAGUUCACUCGCCACCGCCAACAUCCUCCAUCGGAGCCUUCCUCAGGCAGAUUAAAAGAUGCUUAUGUGGGAUAUUUGGAUGGAUAAGCAACAGAAGAAGCGAGCAACAGGUAGAUUCAAUCAUAUGCAAAUUUUCUAUAAUUCUAUAUGUGAAUGAGUUCAGACUUGACAAAAGUUGGUAAAUUUGCGUUAACUCUUUUAAAUUUAUUAAUUACAUAUUUGCAUCGACACAUAAAAUAGGAUUAGAAAAUGUAACAAAUUUGAAGUUUAUUCUUUUGGUGUAAAUGAAAAAUGAUGUGUACAAAAUGCAUGAUACGAAGUUUAGUAUUUCCUUGCCCUGAAGUUCACUUUCAUUAUAAAACGUACCC
Molecule: non-coding RNA, 584 nt
Organism: Lolium perenne
Lineage: Eukaryota; Viridiplantae; Streptophyta; Magnoliopsida; Poales; Poaceae
Source: RefSeq, a predicted model, not a curated record